GACGAACGCUGGCGGCGUGCUUAACACAUGCAAGUGGAGCGACGAACCAGGGCUUGCCCUGGGGCAGAGCCGCGAACGGGUGAGUAACACGUGGGCAACCUGCCCCGAUGACUGGGACAACCCGAGGAAACUCGGGCUAAUACCGGAUGUGCUCCCUCACAUCAGUGAGACGAGUAAAGGAAGCUUCGGCCUCCGCAUCGGGAUGGGCCCGCGGCCCAUUAGCUUGUUGGUGGGGUAAUGGCCUACCAAGGCAACGAUGGGUAGCUGGUCUGAGAGGACGAUCAGCCACACUGGGACUGAGACACGGCCCAGACUCCUACGGGAGGCAG
This 329-nucleotide ribosomal RNA is filed under the name uncultured Actinomycetes bacterium. RNAcentral's name for it is "bacterial SSU rRNA". It matches the Rfam family "Bacterial small subunit ribosomal RNA", at positions 28 to 351 of the family's 1533-position model. Lineage: Bacteria; Bacillati; Actinomycetota; Actinomycetes. The record is from RNAcentral.